Molecule: long non-coding RNA, 224 nt
Filed under: Elaeis guineensis (African oil palm)
Lineage: Eukaryota; Viridiplantae; Streptophyta; Magnoliopsida; Arecales; Arecaceae
Description: long non-coding RNA (EGUI_LNC051133)
Source: RNAcentral
CAUUCUUAAUUUUAGAAAAUUAAUCAAUGUUCUCUAUCAGAUUAUUCUAAUGUUAACAGCCUGUCCAACCCAAAGUCAACGAGCUAUACUUGAUAAGUGGAUGGACCAUGACAAUAAAGGUAAGUGCUAUAUGUUGAAAUCUAUGUUAAGAUGAACUCCUACGUAUGUAUGAGCACAUGUACACUGCCAACAAUAUAUUGAUUCAUCUACAAGUAUGGUGAGGU